CAAAGCAUUUUAACUCCAUGAUGGAUGCAAGGAGUAAUUGCAGCUGGCUCGUGAUGUCACCACAAAGGGAGUUCAGUGGCAAAAACUUUUGCUAAGACCAGUGACCAUUUCAUCCCCUCCAUGGUUCCUCCUCUCACUUGCAGGAUAAAUCAAUGCUACUUAAGUUAAAGGUUCAAGAAAUCCAACAGCCUUGGUGGUGAUACCUACCACAUGUCCUCUCGGAAAACCAUGGAUCUCCUUCCAGCUCACCUGUCUUCACAGCUCACAAAAAGUCUGUCAAAAAAUACAAAGUUCUGCCCCAAAUCAUGGGCUCCUAAUGGAUUCAUUGGCUCAGAAGCAAAAUGUCACACCACUCAUUCAAAAGAACUAUUCCGAGUAACCUAAUUAACCAAAAGAAACCACGCUCUGAGUGGCUGCUCCUUUACUGGUAUUCUUGAUGGCCAUCUCACUUUAUCCCAUAUUUUCACUCCAUCCCAUAUGUAUUAUUGAUAAAGUAUUAUUAAAUUAUGUAAGAACCAGACUCUUCAGACUUAAUAAAUUUCUACAUGAGUCACUUAAA
Molecule: long non-coding RNA, 559 nt
Organism: Oxyura jamaicensis (ruddy duck)
Lineage: Eukaryota; Metazoa; Chordata; Aves; Anseriformes; Anatidae
Exons: 2
Source: RefSeq, a predicted model, not a curated record